AGUGAACGCUGGCGGUAGGCCUAACACAUGCAAGUCGAACGGCAGCACAGUAAGAGCUUGCUCUUACGGGUGGCGAGUGGCGGACGGGUGAGGAAUACAUCGGAAUCUACUUUUUCGUGGGGGAUCACGUAGGGAAACUUACGCUAAUACCGCAUACGACCUACGGGUGAAAGCAGGGGAUCUUCGGACCUUGCGCGAUUGAAUGAGCCGAUGUCGGAGUAGCUAGUUGGCGGGGUAAAGGCCCACCAAGGCGACGAUCCGUAGCUGGUCUGAGAGGAUGAUCAGCCACACUGGAACUGAGACACGGUCCAGAGGCCUACGGGAGGCAGCAGUGGGGAAUAUUGGACAAUGGGCGCAAGCCUGAUCCAGCCAUACCGCGUGGGUGAAGAAGGCGUUCGGGUUGUAAAGCCCGUUUGUUGGGAAAGAAAAGCAGCAGGUUAAUACCCCGCUGUUCUGACGGUACCCAAAGAAUAAGCACCGGCUAACUUCGUG
Molecule: ribosomal RNA, 492 nt
Filed under: uncultured bacterium
Lineage: Bacteria
Description: partial 16S ribosomal RNA
Rfam family: Bacterial small subunit ribosomal RNA
Source: RNAcentral